UUAGAAAAUUCUAUUGUUUAGGUCUCAACCUAACAAACACCACACUAAAACAAGGCGUAGGGAUGACUUCAGUCAAGAUUACUCUUGCAGCGCUGGUUCUUGCUUUAAUAGCUUGCAAUGGGCUUGGAUUCAUGGGUAUACCAAGAAUGCUGGGCAAUGGUGAAUGUCAUCUAGAUGUUGAAUGCAUCUCAAUUUUACCUUACUGUAAAGAAAAAACUAUUUGCAAUAACGGCAUUUGCAUAUGUGACCAGACUAAAGCAAGCCUAAAAUCUGGAUGUAAAACCAAUGCUGAUUGCGCAAUCUUUAUUUGUGAUCCACCUUACGUUAAACCGUAUUGUGACAUAAAACAUGGUGUAUGCAAAUGUUCGCGUUAGAAUGAUCGAGAUUUGAGAGUAGAUCAAUAAAAUGUGUAAUUAGGAAUGA
Molecule: long non-coding RNA, 423 nt
Organism: Glycine soja
Lineage: Eukaryota; Viridiplantae; Streptophyta; Magnoliopsida; Fabales; Fabaceae
Exons: 2
Source: RefSeq, a predicted model, not a curated record